RNAcentral lists this ribosomal RNA (710 nucleotides) under Bacillus sp. J714203. RNAcentral's name for it is "bacterial SSU rRNA". It matches the Rfam family "Bacterial small subunit ribosomal RNA", at positions 61 to 754 of the family's 1533-position model. Lineage: Bacteria; Bacillati; Bacillota; Bacilli; Caryophanales; Bacillaceae. The record is from RNAcentral.
GUCGAGCGGAUCUUCAUUAGCUUGCUUUUGAAGAUCAGCGGCGGACGGGUGAGUAACACGUGGGCAACCUGCCUGUAAGACUGGGAUAACUUCGGGAAACCGGAGCUAAUACCGGAUAAUCCUUUUCCUCUCAUGAGGAAAAGCUGAAAGACGGUUUCGGCUGUCACUUACAGAUGGGCCCGCGGCGCAUUAGCUAGUUGGUGAGGUAACGGCUCACCAAGGCGACGAUGCGUAGCCGACCUGAGAGGGUGAUCGGCCACACUGGGACUGAGACACGGCCCAGACUCCUACGGGAGGCAGCAGUAGGGAAUCUUCCGCAAUGGACGAAAGUCUGACGGAGCAACGCCGCGUGAGCGAUGAAGGCCUUCGGGUCGUAAAGCUCUGUUGUCAGGGAAGAACAAGUAUCGGAGUAACUGCCGGUACCUUGACGGUACCUGACCAGAAAGCCACGGCUAACUACGUGCCAGCAGCCGCGGUAAUACGUAGGUGGCAAGCGUUGUCCGGAAUUAUUGGGCGUAAAGCGCGCGCAGGCGGUUCCUUAAGUCUGAUGUGAAAGCCCCCGGCUCAACCGGGGAGGGUCAUUGGAAACUGGGGAACUUGAGUGCAGAAGAGGAGAGCGGAAUUCCACGUGUAGCGGUGAAAUGCGUAGAGAUGUGGAGGAACACCAGUGGCGAAGGCGGCUCUCUGGUCUGUAACUGACGCUGAGGCGC